This is a long non-coding RNA of Colossoma macropomum (tambaqui), 466 nucleotides long. RefSeq lists it as uncharacterized. The record is from RefSeq and is a predicted model, not a curated record. Lineage: Eukaryota; Metazoa; Chordata; Actinopteri; Characiformes; Serrasalmidae. The transcript is spliced from 4 exons.
UGAUACAGGAAUUUUAUGAUUUAACCAAACCUAGAGAUUAUUAUUAUUUAUCCAACCAACUUAUUAUUAUACAUUAAUAUAUAAAAUGUCAAAAAAAGAAUCUUUAAAGACACUUGAUCAAGAAGAAAUCAGAGUGGUGAUCGCUGAUCCUCCAAAAGCAGCCACCCUUGAGGGCUCUAAAGGAUGGCUUUCUCAUGGCUUUAAAGGAUGGCUUUCUCGUGCCUUUCUAUUGUUGGCUGGUGCAGCUGUGGUUGUGGUGUUUGCUGUGCUGCUGAUUUGGAAGGAAGAGGAAAGCCUAAAUCUCAAGAACUUAACAUCUCAGCUAAACAACAUAUGCAAUGUUGCCCUUUGCCUUCUAACACUUUUAGAACCUUUACCUUCUCUUCUCUUUCUAUUGUUGGCUGGUGCAGCUGUGCUUGUGGUGUUUGCUGUGCUGCUGAUUUGGAAGGAAGGGAAAAGUCUAAAC